RNAcentral lists this ribosomal RNA (378 nucleotides) under Crittendenia physciiphila. RNAcentral describes it as "Crittendenia sp. AMM-2022g partial large subunit ribosomal RNA". It matches the Rfam family "Eukaryotic large subunit ribosomal RNA", at positions 1 to 374 of the family's 3401-position model. Lineage: Eukaryota; Fungi; Basidiomycota; Agaricostilbomycetes; Agaricostilbales; Crittendeniaceae. The record is from RNAcentral.
GUUCUCCAAUCAAGUAGGACUACCCGCUGAACUUAAGCAUAUCAAUAAGCGGAGGAAAAGAAACUAACAAGGAUUCCCCUAGUAACGGCGAGUGAAGUGGGAAAAGCUCAAUUUUGUAAUCUGGCUCUUUUAGAGUCCGAGUUGUAGUCUAGAGAAGUGCUAUCCGCGUCGGACCUUAAACAAGGCUGUUGGAAUGCAGCGUCGUAGAGGGUGAGAAUCCCGUACAUGUUGAGGACUCCCGUAUGCAUUGUGAUACAUUUUCAAAGAGUCGAGUUGUUUGGGAAUGCAGCUCAAAUUGGGUGGUAAAUUCCAUCUAAAGCUAAAUAUUGGCGAGAGACCGAUAGCGAACAAGUACCGUGAGGGAAAGAUGAAAAGCAC